Molecule: ribosomal RNA, 274 nt
Filed under: uncultured bacterium
Lineage: Bacteria
Description: partial 16S ribosomal RNA
Rfam family: Bacterial small subunit ribosomal RNA
Source: RNAcentral
AUACGGAGGGUGCAAGCGUUAAUCGGAAUUACUGGGCGUAAAGGGUACGUAGGCGGUUAAAUAAGUUGGAUGUGAAAGCCCCGGGCUCAACCUGGGAACUGCAUUCAAAACUGUUUGACUAGAGUGUAUGAGAGGUUGGCGGAAUUCCAGGUGUAGCAGUGAAAUGCGUAGAUAUCUGGAGGAACAUCAGUGGCGAAGGCGGCCAACUGGCAUAACACUGACGCUGAGGUACGAAAGCGUGGGGAGCGAACGGGAUUAGAAACCCUAGUAGUCC